CCACCUUGAGCCUCAUAUUUGUUCAGACUUGCAUAUGGUGUUCUUUCUGUUCCUGUGUGAGAAUUUGUGGGACCCACCUGACGCAGACUGCAGUAUUCCAACAUUGCUAACAUCAUUUCCAACUUAUUGAAGCUGACAUACGCUCUGCACACAGUUUCCUGGUCAUAAUCCGCUGAUUCAUGUGGGUGGACUGAUCGAGACACUUCGUUUUGUGAUGUGACAGUGGUGCAUGCUCUUGAGAAGUCACUCCUUUAAAGAUGAAAGUGACUUUACCACAAGCAUGCAACUCUUGUGGAGGAAAGGGGGAUUUUUACUGGCUCCCUAAACAUGUCCUCUCCAGACACCAUUUGUGUAUAUGUCUGUGCUGUAAUGUACCACUUCUUGUUUACAUGUACUGUUGUUUACCAUUGGGUGUAGUGUGCUAGCAACGAUAAAUGUUUUAUGAUUGUUCGAAGAUGCAGAUCACUAAACCAACCAUUCAUAGCAUCUGAAUGGUUCAAAGAAUUUCUUUCUGAUGUUUUUUUGAUUUCCUCCUCCCUUUGCACUAAAGAAAUUAUGUGGGGAGGGAGCAGUGUUUGCUACUGACAAAGAUGGCCUGUGAGACAAAUCUGAAUUGUAAUUGUCAAACCAGCGUGAUACCAAGAUUGGGGAGGGGUGUCCAAAUGCAGUUUUUCAGUGUGGCAUAUUCAGUGUACUGUGGUCUGUUUCCACAAGGCUUGCCUGGCUUACAAGUGCUGUCCCUAGGCUUUAAGCAUGUAGGAAGCAAUAAAAACCUACAAAUUACAGUGCACCCAGGGCUCAGUAGAGGCUAUACAGUGCUGAUCAGAUUUACCAUUCACGCAUUCGUGUGGCAUUAGUGACGUAAACUGUAUUGUUCAGGAAGAAUCUUGGUUGCUGAUAAGGAUGUUAAAAUGCCUAUAGCCUGACCUUAAAUGUAUUAAGAAAGAGAGGCAGUUGUUUCCUCCACAGAAGGCAGGCGUAAGAUGAGCAGCUGGCAAUGUUCAUGAAAGGUAGCAAAAGAACACUGUGCAGUGCUGUGUACUGUUUCAUCUCCAACUGCAAAGCUGUAUGACACAAAUUUAAUCAUGGGGCUUGUGAGCCCCCCGAAAAAUGAGAGAUCCUGUUUUAAUGAGCAGGCUGCCAGCUUGAGGAGAAAAUCUGUAGAAACAGAGUUCUGAGAAUGAACGCUCCCAAUGUUGCUAUCAAGCUGGAUCACACUAGGGGGAUAGAUGAUGUUAUAGAACUCCUGUUUAAAAUGGGAAAGGUAUACUGGGGAACACGUAAUAAGGUCAAGAAGAACAGAUAAAGAAAGAAGUCUGUCAGUGUGGUCUUAUUUUAUACUGAGAUAUUGUUUAAUUAGCACUUAGCACUACAAGCGUUAAUAUUUGUGUGCUGUUAACAAAAAGGAUCUUUGACUUAUUUUUCAAAUUUGCACUUUCCUUAAAUAAUGCUGAUUUUGAUCAACUAGUCUUAGCAUUAAAGCUUUGUUUUAUCCUGGAAUUUUAUGAUGCUGUCAUCAGGUGCAUGGGGAGAUACAGUGGCCAGUAAGACAUCUGUUUUUCUGUUCAUCUCACAAUGCUGUCACCACAAAAGAUUUAAUACUAAUAUCAAGCUGUUUUCUUUAACAAUCACUAAUAGAACUAAUUACAGUAACUCCUGUGGAACGUAGUUCUCUGUGGGUGCUCUACAGUAAUUCUCAUUAUUUCUUCCCGUGCAACGCUGGGAAUGUGUUUCCAUUUUGUGACUGCAUCUUCAGGACACAUCAGGGAGCUAGCAGGCUGCCUUACUUGCUUACUUGCUCUGAAUUGCAGAACUGCUCUCAUAUGUCAGGAAUCAUGCAGCAGGAAGCCCUGCCCUUACAAUGAAGUGGGUACGGUUUGGACACCUUCUGACUGAAGGGCUGCACAUAGAGGAAGAGCCCUGCAAACACUGGUGGCAUACAGCGUUCUGAAAGCUUUUCCCAGCAGCAGACGCACACACAGGAUGAGACACAAUGGUCACUUCUGUAGACAGAUGCUGGGGGCAACCUUGGCCACAAGGCACCAGUGAAGCUUUGGUAUGGCAGCACAGCUUUGUGCCACUGCCGUUUGUGUGCUUGCAAAGCCCUUCUUUGGCUGAGCAGGUCUCUGUGCCAAGAGGAAGCGUCACUAUUGUUUCAUCACUUCUGAAAGGCCAGCAAAUUCAGACUACAUACCACAGUAUAUAUAUGUAUAUAUAUAUAUAGAAAUAACUUUUAAUUAAAAAAACAACCUUGCAUCAAAGAUUAUAGUAUCAGACAUUGAGGCAAGAUUCAAGUUUAAGACAAACCAGUGUUAAAAAAAAAAAAGUUUAAAAAAAUAAUCAGAAUGUGCAAUAAACUACAAUGUAGCAAUAGGUUGUAGUGUUGAAACUUUACUGAACUGUUUUCAGAUGUCCAGUGUAUAUUUCCUGUCAUUCUGACAAAAAAAAAAAGAAGACACUAUAACUGGGUCAUCUGUCCAGUGCCGUUCAGUUCCAGAUAUUACACACAGAAGAAACUUGUGCACAAAAACAGAGACUCCUAUAAUAUUGCCUUCAACUGUCCUACACAGAAAGAACUUCCCUUCGGUAAAUUAUACCUACAUUCAAUGCUUAAUCUUUGUUAAUACCUCUUGAGAUUGCAGAUACAUUCCAAACUAUCCUAUUUAGAUGCGGAAGGUGCGCAGUGCCCGAGCGUGACUGUUGGCUACAGUCAAUCCCCUUGCUGUUUAAAUUUCCAUGCUAUUACAAACAUUUUUCAAGACUUUGAUUCUUUUUCUUUCGCUGAAGAUAAGAGCCUUAUCUUUGUUAAGUUUGGGUGGGUUCCAGGUGUUGCAGAAUGGAUUAGCCAUUCCCCAGCGUUGUGAUGCCCUAACCUGCAUGUAUUGUUCUGCUAUAACAAGAGUGGUUUUCUCAAUUCAGUACAAUUUGUAGUUUUGGUUAAUGACGACUUCUGGAGUUAUUUUUUGUUUGGAGUUCUGUUGAGAUUGUUAAUUAAGAGUAUCACAUCAAGGAUUGUGGUUUGUUGAGGUUUUCAGUGAUACAAAUGCUUGCUGCUGAUGGAUGUACUCAGCAAAAAAAGAUGAAUCUCCAAGAGGAGAGGGUGUCUUUGAAGCAAAGGGCUUCUGGCAACUUUGUGUCUGUUAGUGUGGCGCAGCCAUCCCCUUAGGCCUGAACCCAUGAACAAAGCCUGGCCAGCCAUCGCAGAUCUCCAGAAGGAACUCUCUGAACCAUCUAGCACUCGAAUCUAUGCAAUGGCCAAGGUAACAAAAGACUGAAAGCCCUUGACCUAUGUCCCAUCCCCAAGAGCACAGCUGAAGCGCGAACUUGGAAGUAACAACUGGAGCAUGUUUGUCUCAGGAGUGCUUUGAUGGCCUGAGUAAAGGCAGGUAAAGCCUCUUUGGGGAUUGGCAAAAUUCUUACAACCACGGGACAGGAUUGCCAGCUCUCAUCUCUCCUGCCUCGUGAUGAUCCAGGUGUCUUUCCUCUAUCAUAGGCUUUUUUAUGUUUUUGCAAGAGCUAGGCUUAGAAAAGGGAAGUGAACGCUUUUCACCCAUCUAGCUGUUACCUCUGCGCUGCUAGGCUCACUGUAAUGUCAGGAAUUUGUAGGUGAAUAUCCCCAAGGAGAUGCUGACUUUUUCAUUUUCUCUGUGGCUGAGGUGGGAACGUAGCUACCUGGCUGCAGAAAAUGGCUGAGAAGACUGAUUCUGGCCCACCAUGGGGUGACCAUGAAAAGUGUCAUAUGUCUUUUGUGCCGGUAGUAACUUUUUACAGGGUAAUACUUUAUUUGAAGUGCCCUAUUGCUAUGGGUUCAUUUGCUAUUCAUUGUGAUAGCACAGAGUGUAAUGAGCUCAUCUAGUAUUCAUGGCAGUGUCACAAGUGCUUUGCUAGGUGUUCUGUUGCUGCAUUUAAGGUAUGUCGGUAUUAAACUGCCACCAGCUGGGUUGGUUUUUUUUUUGUCCUUAAGAGGGGGAAAAAAACCAACAGAGCCAAUCUAAGCUACUCAGUGUUUCCGAAAAAGCCCAUCUGUAUCCUCAGGCCCAAUUCCAGAUGCCAAAUCUCCUUCUGCUACCCAGCUGCUCCUUUCCUUCUGUGUCCUCACCUGGCCUACAGGAGCAUGUCUGCUCUUGCACUACAUUCUUUCUUGCACAUGACAUUGCGGUGCUGGAUUGAUUUCUGUGCCAAGGUACCCUUAAUUAAGGUCGUUUGACUUAUGCAGCAUUUGUGGCAUCAAAGCAUAUGUUUCUUCCUGAGCCAUGAAGUACAAGUUGCAGUAAUAGCAACAGUAAUGAGCAGCAGACACUUACAUAGUGCUAAUGACUUAAGGUCACAUUCUUCAUUGUUCACAAGCAUUUGGACUGCCAGUGGGGAUUCACGAAAAUACUUGAAGAUUGGAAAGAUUUUUAAGUGGUAACAUGUAAAAAUUCUUGUCAGGACUGCUUUAAUACUAUUCCCUGGUCAGUAUUCCAUGUUAGAAAUGUUUCAGCUGUUCAUUCGUGGUGACAAAGCCCUCUGGAGCACAGUGCACAGGACAUCAAUUCCUAGCACAAGGUUUGCCUUUUACACUUGCUUGGAGACUUUAUUUCACGCCCUGAAAAAACAGGAGAAUUUUUAUUACUUUUCACUUGAAACUCAAAGGCACAUCACUGAGUGGUGUUGUGGAGGCAGCAAUUAAGUGCAGACUGAAUUUCCACACCAAGGUAAAAGGUUCACAGAGAGGCUCCAAAACUGUUCAUCCAUCAGUCUCCCUUAACUAGAGUCCGUGCAUAGGAAGGUCAAAAUGACUAACUAGGUUAACCAUACUCUGCAAUAAUACGGGUGACACACAGCAUCUAAUUACUGCAGGAUCAGAGAAGAGGUGGGGAUAGCGGGCCAAGUUUCACUGGCUUUAAUUUAGAACUAAAGCAUCCAUUAUUUAAUUACCUGUAAUUAUUAAAUGAUCUGAAUGUAAUUCACAUCCCCAUAAUUGUUGCAGGUACUUGAAAGGAGCUUUCCAUCACUUUCAAGCACUAGAUUCUGGUGUGUUUGGACACUCAUUAAAAUAAAUAUUAGUGUGACAGAAAAUCAAGCUGGUGUCCAGCUGUGCAAAAUCUGGUGAGCACAGGAGCUGUGCUGUGACGUGGACCAACGUGGAAGUCAUGCAUAUCAGAAGUUUCCUCUUAUGUGAUAAGAGAUAGAAAGGUGAAUUGGUUCUUGAUGUCUUCGCUAAUUGUUGUUAAUCACAAGAGCCCUCUCUUCUCCCACAGACCGUCUGCGCAAACCAAAGAAAUAAACAUAGGGCUACAUUUGGCUUUACCCAACGGCUUCUAGGUGAUGGCUGUAUUGUGUUUUGGUUUUUGGCUUGUGCUUUGUUUAUUAAUCCCAACCAAAUCAAUUUCUUAUUUUCCCAUCUAGCUAGGAGAUAAUUAACUUGCAUGAUGAUGCUUUACAAUAUCUGUUAAAUAUUACUUUUGAAGCAAACUAAGCUAAUGACACGGGCAAUUAAGCCUCAUGCAUCAGGAUAUAAAAUGAUUGGUGUCAGAUUCAGGAUGGCUUUAUUCCCACCACCACUGGCCCUGGGUCAAUAUGACUACGCAUGAAUGCCUGGAGCCAAUGAGUGGGGGAAUGUGCGUUGCUCUUCUCUGGAGCAGUGAGCUUUAUAGGAAAGAGUUGGGUUAAUAGUCUGUCCCAGUGUGCCAGACACCACGAUGAAGUUCUGGAUGUCUCAGCAAGCUUUUGUUGUUUUGGUUCUCGUCCUGCUGGCUGAUUUUUGAAUGAUGAGUGAUAGUAUGAUAUUUACAAACCUAUUUUACAUCUUGCUUUCUUUCUAAGGGAGGCAAUCGUUGUUUCCGUGUGUUUUUAAUAUAAUCUUCUCUGAUUUUGUUCCUCCUUCCAGUUGUGAAUUGAGGAUGAAUAUCACUGAUAAAAUGGAGGUCUCAGCCCCUGCGUGGGCUUAUGUUCAGGAUGUCCCUGCUGUGACAGUCACCAGAAUUUACCUGAUUCUUCACUGGAAUUUAUUUUUUUAUAUAUCACUUACAGUAAUAUUAUAUGCCCUUCUUUAUUUUUAAUUAGUUUGCCUGUUCUGUAGUGGUAAUGUGUUUCAAUUCUCAGAGCAACCUAGUGGCCAA
RNAcentral lists this long non-coding RNA (6104 nucleotides) under Gallus gallus (chicken). RNAcentral's name for it is "long non-coding RNA NONGGAT016066". The record is from RNAcentral. Lineage: Eukaryota; Metazoa; Chordata; Aves; Galliformes; Phasianidae.